CUCGUAGGCGGCCAACUAAGUCAGACGUGAAAUCCCUCGGCUUAACCGAGGAACUGCGUCUGAUACUGGAUGGCUUGAGUUCGGGAGAGGGAUGUGGAAUUCCAGGUGUAGCGGUGAAAUGCGUAGAUAUCUGGAGGAACACCGGUGGCGAAGGCGGCAUCCUGGACCGACACUGACGCUGAGGAGCGAAAGCCAGGGGAGCAAACGGGAUUAGACUACCCCGGUAGUCCUGGACCCUAAACGAUGAAUGCUUGGUGUGGCGGGUAUCGAUCCCUGCCGUGCCGAAGCUAACGCAUUAAGCAUUCCGCCUGGGGAGUACGGUCGCAAGGCUGGA
RNAcentral lists this ribosomal RNA (334 nucleotides) under uncultured bacterium. Its description in RNAcentral is "bacterial SSU rRNA". It matches the Rfam family "Bacterial small subunit ribosomal RNA", at positions 568 to 898 of the family's 1533-position model. The record is from RNAcentral.